This 253-nucleotide ribosomal RNA is filed under the name uncultured bacterium. RNAcentral describes it as "partial 16S ribosomal RNA". It matches the Rfam family "Bacterial small subunit ribosomal RNA", at positions 524 to 776 of the family's 1533-position model. The record is from RNAcentral.
UACGUAGGCAGCAAGCGUUGUUCGGAAUCACUGGGCGUAAAGGGCGCGUAGGCGGCUUUGUAAGUCGGGGGUGAAAGCCUGUGGCUCAACCACAGAAUUGCCUUCGAUACUGCAUGGCUUGAGACCGGAAGAGGUAAGUGGAACUGCGAGUGUAGAGGUGAAAUUCGUAGAUAUUCGCAAGAACACCAGUGGCGAAGGCGGCUUACUGGUCCGGUUCUGACGCUGAGGCGCGAAAGCGUGGGGAGCGAUCCGG